GACGAACCGUGCAAACGUUAUUCGGAAUCACUGGGCGUAAAGGGCGCGUAGGCGGCCUUCUAAGUCGAACGUGAAAUCCCCGGGCUCAACCCGGGAACUGCGUCCGAUACUGGAAGGCUCGAAUCCGGGAGAGGGAUGCGGAAUUCCAGGUGUAGCGGUGAAAUGCGUAGAUAUCAGGAGGAACACCGGUGGCGAAGGCGGGUCUCUGGGCCGUAACUGACGCUGAGGAGCGAAAGCGUGGGGAGCGAACAGG
This 253-nucleotide ribosomal RNA is filed under the name uncultured bacterium. RNAcentral's name for it is "partial 16S ribosomal RNA". It matches the Rfam family "Bacterial small subunit ribosomal RNA", at positions 524 to 776 of the family's 1533-position model. The record is from RNAcentral.